RNAcentral lists this ribosomal RNA (1359 nucleotides) under uncultured bacterium. RNAcentral describes it as "bacterial SSU rRNA". It matches the Rfam family "Bacterial small subunit ribosomal RNA", at positions 28 to 1381 of the family's 1533-position model. The record is from RNAcentral.
GAUGAACGCUAGCUACAGGCUUAACACAUGCAAGUCGAGGGGCAUCAGGAAGAAAGCUUGCUUUCUUUGCUGGCGACCGGCGCACGGGUGAGUAACACGUAUCCAACCUGCCCUUUACUCGGGGAUAGCCUUUCGAAAGAAAGAUUAAUACCCGAUAGCAUAAUGAUUCCGCAUGGUUUCAUUAUUAAAGGAUUCCGGUAAAGGAUGGGGAUGCGUUCCAUUAGGUUGUUGGUGAGGUAACGGCUCACCAAGCCUUCGAUGGAUAGGGGUUCUGAGAGGAAGGUCCCCCACAUUGGAACUGAGACACGGUCCAAACUCCUACGGGAGGCAGCAGUGAGGAAUAUUGGUCAAUGGGCGGUAGCCUGAACCAGCCAAGUAGCGUGAAGGAUGAAGGCUCUAUGGGUCGUAAACUUCUUUUAUAUAAGAAUAAAGUGCAGUAUGUAUACUGUUUUGUAUGUAUUAUAUGAAUAAGGAUCGGCUAACUCCGUGCCAGCAGCCGCGGUAAUACGGAGGAUCCGAGCGUUAUCCGGAUUUAUUGGGUUUAAAGGGAGCGUAGGUGGACUGGUAAGUCAGUUGUGAAAGUUUGCGGCUCAACCGUAAAAUUGCAGUUGAUACUGCCAGUCUUGAGUACAGUAGAGGUGGGCGGAAUUCGUGGUGUAGCGGUGAAAUGCUUAGAUAUCACGAAGAACUCCGAUUGCGAAGGCAGCUCACUGGACUGCAACUGACACUGAUGCUCGAAAGUGUGGGUAUCAAACAGGAUUAGAUACCCUGGUAGUCCACACAGUAAACGAUGAAUACUCGCUGUUUGCGAUAUACAGUAAGCGGCCAAGCGAAAGCAUUAAGUAUUCCACCUGGGGAGUACGCCGGCAACGGUGAAACUCAAAGGAAUUGACGGGGGCCCGCACAAGCGGAGGAACAUGUGGUUUAAUUCGAUGAUACGCGAGGAACCUUACCCGGGCUUAAAUUGCAGUGGAAUGAUGUGGAAACAUGUCAGUGAGCAAUCACCGCUGUGAAGGUGCUGCAUGGUUGUCGUCAGCUCGUGCCGUGAGGUGUCGGCUUAAGUGCCAUAACGAGCGCAACCCUUAUCUUUAGUUACUAACAGGUCAUGCUGAGGACUCUAGAGAGACUGCCGUCGUAAGAUGUGAGGAAGGUGGGGAUGACGUCAAAUCAGCACGGCCCUUACGUCCGGGGCUACACACGUGUUACAAUGGGGGGUACAGAAGGCAGCUAGCGGGUGACCGUAUGCUAAUCCCAAAAGCCUCUCUCAGUUCGGAUCGAAGUCUGCAACCCGACUUCGUGAAGCUGGAUUCGCUAGUAAUCGCGCAUCAGCCACGGCGCGGUGAAUACGUUCCCGGGCCU